UGCACAAAAAAUCGAGCUGGGGGGUUCCCUGGUCCCCGGCGUUGGGGCGGGGAGCGCUACGCCGAGGGAGGGGGCGGCGCAGACCCGACUAGGGGACACCUGGUCGAGCGCAGCUACCGCUCCGCUCGAGCCCUGCGCUCCAGUGCUCCCGCUGGCUGGAGAGCUCGCCCGGACCGGGGGUCUUCCUCCGCCGCUGACAGUUGAAAAAUUAGAAGAGAUAUCCUGCAGUGGAGUGAGGAAGAGGAGAGAGAGGAGAGAGAACAGCGAUGGCUGACCUCAAAUUCCUUGGCUCAAGUAACUCUUCUUGAUUCAGCCUCCCAAGUAACUAGGUCUACAGGUGACCCUACCUUGUGUCAAGCUGAGACAAAAACUAGCCAGCACAGCCUACCAAGGUUUGUUCUAACAAACCUUACACAGUGAGGAUAGAAAUGUAGCAUUCGACUCAGCUGUCCUGAAGAACUGGUCACAUGUUCUCAGCCAUGGAUCCCAGGAACCAUAAUUCCAAUUUCACUUCUGCGUAUUAAAAAUCAAUUAAGAAAGUCAAGCUCAUAGACUCCUGAUUUCCUGUCCUUCUCAACUCAGGACCAAAUGCACCCCAAAUCACUGAAA
Long non-coding RNA from Chionomys nivalis (European snow vole), 609 nucleotides. RefSeq lists it as uncharacterized. The transcript is spliced from 5 exons. The record is from RefSeq and is a predicted model, not a curated record. NCBI's taxonomy places the organism in Eukaryota, Metazoa, Chordata, Mammalia, Rodentia, Cricetidae.